This is a long non-coding RNA of Octodon degus (degu), 1058 nucleotides long. RefSeq lists it as uncharacterized. NCBI's taxonomy places the organism in Eukaryota, Metazoa, Chordata, Mammalia, Rodentia, Octodontidae. The record is from RefSeq and is a predicted model, not a curated record. The transcript is spliced from 3 exons.
AAGUCCCUCCAGUGCCACAUCUGGAGAGUAAGGUGGACGAGGACUGCCCCGAUGCAUGUAUGAACCUGCAUCUGUUGGGUGGCGCUCGGCAGCAGGAUCCGCAGUAUUCUUGAUCAUCGUGCCUCAUAAAGACAGGAGAGAGGACUUCCACAAGUGCUUCAGAAGGCGGCAGGAGUGAUGGGAUGAGUAUGCGCAAAGUGACCGGAGGAUUUGGAAGGAGAUAUUUUGAAAACACGUAAACACAUACUGUGUUUUGUGAUCAGCCCUUGACACCUCGCCUUGGUUCAAGCUCUCUCCGUGCGAGGAGGCAGCGUGUUGCGAGGUGGCUGGGCAGGAGGCUUAGGCAGCGGUUCAGCCUCCCCACAGACGGCUCCAGAUGUAUGUGCACUAACACGAUUGGGAAAGCCCUUGAAUAUUUUAGUGCAUCUUGCUAUAAACUGAUGUGAGUGAAGCAGUGAAGGAACCGACAGGUGUGGUGUUGUAGUCAGGGUUGGGAAGGGAAAAGAUUUAAUGAUACAGGACACAUUUAUAGGAUGUUUUGUAAUAUUUACCUCAAGAGGCAAAUGCAAAACAGUGCAGGAAACCUGUCCACAUACCAGAGACUGAAGAAUCCAGCCGAGGGCCUGGAUCACACGGCAGUGUCCUCCAUGAGUCCAGCUGAAGACCCAGAGCCCAUGGCAGUGUCCUCUACCAGUCCAGCUGGAGGUCUGGAGCCCAUGGCAGUGUCUCAUGCGAGUCUGUAUCAAGGAUCUGCCCUGGGAAGGCCCAAAGUUCGGUGGUGGAGCUAGAGAAUCUGCGCCAGUGGGAUGGAGGAUCUGUGCUGGCAGGCUGUGGGAUCUGCACUGGAGCCAGGAAGCGAUGCUCAAGGAUGGCUACAGCCAGGAAGACCACAGUGGCAAGUGUUGAUGAGGUGUGGAGAGAUCGGAAUUACAGGCAUGGAUGGUAGAAUGCGACAUGUUCUGGGAAUUGGACCCAGGGUCUGUUGCGUGCUAGGUAAGUGCUCUGGGACUGUCCCCCUUUGUCUCUUUCAUGUGUCUCAAGUCUCCCAGCGCUUUUAU